RNAcentral lists this ribosomal RNA (402 nucleotides) under uncultured prokaryote. RNAcentral describes it as "bacterial SSU rRNA". It matches the Rfam family "Bacterial small subunit ribosomal RNA", at positions 355 to 774 of the family's 1533-position model. The record is from RNAcentral.
UGGGGAAUCUUAGACAAUGGGGGAAACCCUGAUCUAGCCAUGCCGCGUGAGCGAUGAAGGCCUUAGGGUUGUAAAGCUCUUUCAGCUGGGAAGAUAAUGACGGUACCAGCAGAAGAAGCCCCGGCUAACUCCGUGCCAGCAGCCGCGGUAAUACGGAGGGGGCUAGCGUUGUUCGGAAUUACUGGGCGUAAAGCGCACGUAGGCGGAUUAUUAAGUCGGGGGUGAAAUCCCGGGGCUCAACCCCGGAACUGCCUUCGAUACUGGUAGUCUUGAGGUCGAGAGAGGUGAGUGGAAUUCCGAGUGUAGAGGUGAAAUUCGUAGAUAUUCGGAGGAACACCAGUGGCGAAGGCGGCUCACUGGCUCGAUACUGACGCUGAGGUGCGAAAGCGUGGGGAGCAAACA